This 94-nucleotide transfer RNA is filed under the name Tilletiopsis washingtonensis. It matches the Rfam family "tRNA". Rfam says of the family: Transfer RNA (tRNA) molecules are approximately 80 nucleotides in length. Their secondary structure includes four short double-helical elements and three loops (D, anti-codon, and T loops). Lineage: Eukaryota; Fungi; Basidiomycota; Exobasidiomycetes; Entylomatales. The record is from Rfam by way of RNAcentral.
UCCCGGCUAGCUCAGUCGGUAGAGCGACAGACUCUUAAGAAGUCUAGGACGACAGUCCAUCUGUAGGUCGAGGGUUCGAGCCCCUCGUUGGGAG